GCGCACGCUGGCGGCAGGCCUAACACAUGCCAGUCGAACGAACCUUUCGGGGUUAGUGGCGGACGGGUGAGUAACACGUGGGAACGUGCCUUUAGGUUCGGAAUAACUCAGGGAAACUUGUGCUAAUACCGAAUGUGCCCUUCGGGGGAAAGAUUAAUCGCCUUUAGAGCGGCCCGCGUCUGAUUAGCUAGUUGGUUGAGGUAAUGGCUCACCAAGGCGACGAUCAGUAGCUGGUCUGAGAGGAUGAUCAGCCACAUUGGGACUGAGACACGGCCCAAACUCCUACGGGAGGCAGCAGUGGGGAAUCUUGCGCAAUGGGCGAAAGCCUGACGCAGCCAUGCCGCGUGAAUGAUGAAGGUCUUAGGAUUGUAAAAUUCUUUCACCGGGGACGAUAAUGACGGUACCCGGAGAAGAAGCCCCGGCUAACUUCGUG
This 433-nucleotide ribosomal RNA is filed under the name uncultured bacterium. Its description in RNAcentral is "partial 16S ribosomal RNA". It matches the Rfam family "Bacterial small subunit ribosomal RNA", at positions 29 to 507 of the family's 1533-position model. The record is from RNAcentral.